GAGAACAUGACGGUACCUAAGGAGGAAGCCCCGGCUAACUACGUGCCAGCAGCCGCGGUAAUACGUAGGGGGCAAGCGUUGUCCGGAAUUAUUGGGCGUAAAGGGCGCGUAGGCGGAUAUUUAAGUCCGGUGUGAAAGAUCAAGGCUCAACCCUGAAAGUGCAUCGGAAACUGGUUAUCUUGAGGACAGGAGAGGAAAGUGGAAUUCCAGGUGUAGCGGUGAAAUGCGUAAAUAUGUGGAGGAACACCAGUGGCGAAGGCGACUUUCUGGACUGUAACUGACGCUGAGGCGCGAAAGCGUGGGGAGCAAACAGGAUUAGAUACCCUGGUAGUCCACGCCGUAAACGAUGAG
This 351-nucleotide ribosomal RNA is filed under the name uncultured Paludibacter sp. RNAcentral describes it as "bacterial SSU rRNA". It matches the Rfam family "Bacterial small subunit ribosomal RNA", at positions 463 to 813 of the family's 1533-position model. Lineage: Bacteria; Pseudomonadati; Bacteroidota; Bacteroidia; Bacteroidales; Paludibacteraceae. The record is from RNAcentral.